Molecule: ribosomal RNA, 487 nt
Filed under: uncultured bacterium
Lineage: Bacteria
Description: bacterial SSU rRNA
Rfam family: Bacterial small subunit ribosomal RNA
Source: RNAcentral
CUACGUGCCAGCAGCCGCGGUAAUACGUAGGGUGCGAGCGUUAAUCGGAAUUACUGGGCGUAAAGCGAGCGCAGACGGUUACUUAAGCAGGAUGUGAAAUCCCCGGGCUCAACCUGGGAACUGCGUUCUGAACUGGGUAGCUAGAGUAUGUCAGAGGGGGGUAGAAUUCCACGUGUAGCAGUGAAAUGCGUAGAGAUGUGGAGGAAUACCGAUGGCGAAGGCAGCCCCCUGGGAUAAUACUGACGUUCAUGCUCGAAAGCGUGGGUAGCAAACAGGAUUAGAUACCCUGGUAGUCCACGCCCUAAACGAUGUCGAUUAGCUGUUGGGCAGCUUGACUGCUUAGUAGCGUAGCUAACGCGUGAAAUCGACCGCCUGGGGAGUACGGUCGCAAGAUUAAAACUCAAAGGAAUUGACGGGGACCCGCACAAGCGGUGGAUGAUGUGGAUUAAUUCGAUGCAACGCGAAGAACCUUACCUGGUCUUGACAU